UUAGAUUAGGUAGUUGGUGGGGUAACGGCCUACCAAGGCCUACGAUCUAUAGCUGGUUUUAGAGGAUGUCAGCAACACUGGGAGUGAGACACGGCCCAGACUCCUACGGGAGGCAGCAGCAGUGGGGAAUCUUAGACAAUGGGGGCAACCCUCUAGCCAUGCCGCGAGAGUGAUGAAGGCCUUAGGGUCGUAAAGCUCUUUCGCCUGUGAUGAUAAUGACAGUAGCAGGCAAACACA
This 237-nucleotide ribosomal RNA is filed under the name uncultured bacterium. RNAcentral's name for it is "partial 16S ribosomal RNA". It matches the Rfam family "Bacterial small subunit ribosomal RNA", at positions 236 to 490 of the family's 1533-position model. The record is from RNAcentral.